AGACGGGCAGCGGCGCGCUUGCUGCGGCGUCCGCUCCGCCCGAGCCUAGUAAUGGGGCGAGGCGUCGCGGCGGUGUUCCUGCACGCCUUGUCGGCCUUGGAGCUAGCCUUGGCGGGUGCGGGCCAAGGCGUCGCGGCGGAGGACGAUAAGCAGACGGGCACGCGCCACCGGCGCGCUUGCCAUGGGCAUCCGCUUCGCCCGAGCCCAGGAGUGGAGCGAGGCGUCGCGGUGGCAUUCCUACGCGCCUUGUCGCCCUUGAAGCUGGCCUUGGCGGGCCGAGGUGUCGCAGCGGAGGACGACAAGGCGGCCGUCGUGCUCUGUUGGGGCGAGGCAUCGCGGCCCUUCGGCUCCGGCAGAUGACGGCAGAGAGCCAGGUGUGGCUUGGCGUCUCCAAGAGCCACGAGGUCGUCGGUGCCGGCCAUCGCGCCAGGCUGGACCAGCUGCUGCAGCCCCCCUGCGCCGUCGCCAUCGCCAUGGCACAAGAAGCGUGAUAUUCCUAAUGGUUGCUGUCGACGCUAAAAAAAUUACUCCUGAAGCACUAGAAGUGCCCUCUCUAUGGCGCAUCACUCACUGGAUCCAGAUGGGCAACAUUCCGCUUCAAGAUUAAAGA
Long non-coding RNA from Triticum dicoccoides, 610 nucleotides. RefSeq lists it as uncharacterized. NCBI's taxonomy places the organism in Eukaryota, Viridiplantae, Streptophyta, Magnoliopsida, Poales, Poaceae. The record is from RefSeq and is a predicted model, not a curated record. The transcript is spliced from 2 exons.